RNAcentral lists this ribosomal RNA (531 nucleotides) under uncultured Streptococcus sp. RNAcentral's name for it is "bacterial SSU rRNA". It matches the Rfam family "Bacterial small subunit ribosomal RNA", at positions 8 to 521 of the family's 1533-position model. Lineage: Bacteria; Bacillati; Bacillota; Bacilli; Lactobacillales; Streptococcaceae. The record is from RNAcentral.
AGAGUUUGAUCCUGGCUCAGGAUGAACGCUGGCGGCGUGCCUAAUACAUGCAAGUAGAACGCUGAAGCUUGGUGCUUGCACCGAGCGGAUGAGUUGCGAACGGGUGAGUAACGCGUAGGUAACCUGCCUGGUAGCGGGGGAUAACUAUUGGAAACGAUAGCUAAUACCGCAUAACAGUAGAUAUUGCAUGAUAUCUGCUUGAAAGGUGCAAAUGCAUCACUACCAGAUGGACCUGCGUUGUAUUAGCUAGUUGGUGAGGUAACGGCUCACCAAGGCGACGAUACAUAGCCGACCUGAGAGGGUGAUCGGCCACACUGGGACUGAGACACGGCCCAGACUCCUACGGGAGGCAGCAGUAGGGAAUCUUCGGCAAUGGGGGGAACCCUGACCGAGCAACGCCGCGUGAGUGAAGAAGGUUUUCGGAUCGUAAAGCUCUGUUGUAAGAGAAGAACGAGUGUGAGAGUGGAAAGUUCACACUGUGACGGUAUCUUACCAGAAAGGGACGGCUAACUACGUGCCAGCAGCCGCGGU